RNAcentral lists this ribosomal RNA (79 nucleotides) under Mus pahari (shrew mouse). Lineage: Eukaryota; Metazoa; Chordata; Mammalia; Rodentia; Muridae. The record is from RNAcentral.
GUCUGCAGCCAUACCACCCUGAGUGUACCUGUUCUAGUCUGAUCUCAGAAGCUAAGUAGGGUCGGGUCUGCUUUAUACU